Molecule: ribosomal RNA, 1554 nt
Filed under: Escherichia coli
Lineage: Bacteria; Pseudomonadati; Pseudomonadota; Gammaproteobacteria; Enterobacterales; Enterobacteriaceae
Description: bacterial SSU rRNA
Rfam family: Bacterial small subunit ribosomal RNA
Source: RNAcentral
UUAAAUUGAAGAGUUUGAUCAUGGCUCAGAUUGAACGCUGGCGGCAGGCCUAACACAUGCAAGUCGAACGGUAACAGGAAGCAGCUUGCUGCUUUGCUGACGAGUGGCGGACGGGUGAGUAAUGUCUGGGAAACUGCCCGAUGGAGGGGAUAACUACUGGAAACGGUAGCUAAUACCGCAUAACGUCGCAAGACCAAAGAGGGGGACCUUAGGGCCUCUUGCCAUCGGAUGUGCCCAGAUGGGAUUAGCUAGUAGGUGGGGUAAUGGCUCACCUAGGCGACGAUCCCUAGCUGGUCUGAGAGGAUGACCAGCCACACUGGAACUGAGACACGGUCCAGACUCCUACGGGAGGCAGCAGUGGGGAAUAUUGCACAAUGGGCGCAAGCCUGAUGCAGCCAUGCCGCGUGUAUGAAGAAGGCCUUCGGGUUGUAAAGUACUUUCAGCGGGGAGGAAGGGAGUAAAGUUAAUACCUUUGCUCAUUGACGUUACCCGCAGAAGAAGCACCGGCUAACUCCGUGCCAGCAGCCGCGGUAAUACGGAGGGUGCAAGCGUUAAUCGGAAUUACUGGGCGUAAAGCGCACGCAGGCGGUUUGUUAAGUCAGAUGUGAAAUCCCCGGGCUCAACCUGGGAACUGCAUCUGAUACUGGCAAGCUUGAGUCUCGUAGAGGGGGUAGAAUUCCAGGUGUAGCGGUGAAAUGCGUAGAGAUCUGGAGGAAUACCGGUGGCGAAGGCGGCCCCCUGGACGAAGACUGACGCUCAGGUGCGAAAGCGUGGGGAGCAAACAGGAUUAGAUACCCUGGUAGUCCACGCCGUAAACGAUGUCGACUUGGAGGUUGUGCCCUUGAGGCGUGGCUUCCGGAGCUAACGCGUUAAGUCGACCGCCUGGGGAGUACGGCCGCAAGGUUAAAACUCAAAUGAAUUGACGGGGGCCCGCACAAGCGGUGGAGCAUGUGGUUUAAUUCGAUGCAACGCGAAGAACCUUACCUGGUCUUGACAUCCACGGAAGUUUUCAGAGAUGAGAAUGUGCCUUCGGGAACCGUGAGACAGGUGCUGCAUGGCUGUCGUCAGCUCGUGUUGUGAAAUGUUGGGUUAAGUCCCGCAACGAGCGCAACCCUUAUCCUUUGUUGCCAGCGGUCCGGCCGGGAACUCAAAGGAGACUGCCAGUGAUAAACUGGAGGAAGGUGGGGAUGACGUCAAGUCAUCAUGGCCCUUACGACCAGGGCUACACACGUGCUACAAUGGCGCAUACAAAGAGAAGCGACCUCGCGAGAGCAAGCGGACCUCAUAAAGUGCGUCGUAGUCCGGAUUGGAGUCUGCAACUCGACUCCAUGAAGUCGGAAUCGCUAGUAAUCGUGGAUCAGAAUGCCACGGUGAAUACGUUCCCGGGCCUUGUACACACCGCCCGUCACACCAUGGGAGUGGGUUGCAAAAGAAGUAGGUAGCUUAACCUUCGGGAGGGCGCUUACCACUUUGUGAUUCAUGACUGGGGUGAAGUCGUAACAAGGUAACCGUAGGGGAACCUGCGGUUGGAUCACCUCCUUACCUUAAAGAAGC